This is a non-coding RNA of Saimiri boliviensis boliviensis (Bolivian squirrel monkey), 1089 nucleotides long. The record is from RefSeq and is a predicted model, not a curated record. Lineage: Eukaryota; Metazoa; Chordata; Mammalia; Primates; Cebidae.
AAGACCCGCUACAGUCUGCCCUCGCGGACAGGCUCAGUCACCGCGGCGAGACCAAGCCAUGGGGCCGCGGCCGCCCAAGGAGCCUGAGCCUGCCUCGACACCCCCCGCCCGAGGCCGGGCCGCCCGAACACUCACCUAGGGCCGCGCGGCCGCCCACACGGAAACGGAGACGCUGCCGCCACCAGCCGCCUAGGAACCCAGCUCGGCGGGCCGCAGCGCCUGCGCCCUCAGCCCGCCAUAGACGCCGCCCCCAGUAGCGACUCAGACUCGGGCUUCCGCGGAAGGCCUGCGGCGCAUGCGCUGGGCUCAGCGUUUGUUUUUAUGCAAGAGCGAGACCACGUGGUUGGAGGGAAGGGCCUUUGUACCUGCCUGCCUGCAAACCUGGAAAGUUAUCUCAGCCGCUGGCCCACUGGGCGCUUUGCGGAGGCCGCCUCACUCCCAGCGAAAAUACCUCGCUAGUAAGACAGUUAUGAAACUUAAGACAUAUUUCCAGGUGGGGGGGAUGCGAGUGUGCCGUGCGGACGUAAAUUCUCACAAUUAACCUUGGACCCUCAAGAGAAAGUCAGCUUGAGCAGGGGAGUUAGCGGCACCUUUUGGUCGCCAGGCUGUGACCUCACCUGUCAUCUGGCGCGACUGAACACGGAUAGAGAGGAUCUCAGUCAGAAGGCAUCACUAUGGUGUGGGCCAUUUAUAACUCCUGAAGGCAAAAGUGGUAUCUGGAAGAUUAAGUCAAAGGAAACCAUCUGGACUAUCCUUUGGGGAUGUUGCAGAGAAGCUGGGAGAGAAGUGGAGUUGGUGUGAAAGGAAGAAGCUGAGGCACAAUUAAUACAAGUAGAGAGUUUAUUUGGGCCAAGCUUGAGGACUGCAACCUGGGAGCACAGAUUCAAGUUGCCGUGGAUAUACACUCUGUUACAAGAAUAAUGAUACUGCUGCAGAUGACAAGCAACCUUAGGAAAAGAAAGCUGAGAAGCUGAAGGAAAAAUACAAAAAGGAAAUGACUGCAUACCAAGCUAAAGGAAAGCCUCCCAUAAAGGGAGUCAUCAAGGCUGAAGAAAGCAAAGAAAAAAAGAAAGAAGAUGAAGAGGAGGA